Molecule: ribosomal RNA, 495 nt
Filed under: uncultured bacterium
Lineage: Bacteria
Description: partial 16S ribosomal RNA
Rfam family: Bacterial small subunit ribosomal RNA
Source: RNAcentral
GACGAACGCUGGCGGCGUGCCUAAUACAUGCAAGUAGAACGCUGAAGGAGGAGCUUGCUUCUCCGGAUGAGUUGCGAACGGGUGAGUAACGCGUAGGUAACCUGCCUGGUAGCGGGGGAUAACUAUUGGAAACGAUAGCUAAUACCGCAUAACAGUAGAUAUUGCAUGAUAUCUGCUUGAAAGGUGCAAUUGCAUCACUACCAGAUGGACCUGCGUUGUAUUAGCUAGUUGGUGAGGUAACGGCUCACCAAGGCGACGAUACAUAGCCGACCUGAGAGGGUGAUCGGCCACACUGGGACUGAGACACGGCCCAGACUCCUACGGGAGGCAGCAGUAGGGAAUCUUCGGCAAUGGACGGAAGUCUGACCGAGCAACGCCGCGUGAGGGAAGAAGGUUGUCGGAUCGUAAAGCUCUGUUGUAAGAGAAGAACGAGUGUGAGAGUGGAAAGUUCACACUGUGACGGUAUCUGACCAGAAAGGGACGGCUAACUACGUG